CCUACGGGUGGCAGCAGUGAGGAAUAUUGGUCAAUGGGCGUAAGCCUGAACCAGCCAAGUCGCGUGAGGGAUGACGGUCCUAUGGAUCGUAAACCUCUUUUAUCAGGGAAUAAGGUGCGCGACGUGUCCCGCGUCGUAUGUACCUGAUGAAUAAGCAUCGGCUAACUCCGUGCCAGCAGCCGCGGUAAUACGGAGGAUCCGAGCGUUAUCCGGAUUUAUUGGGUUUAAAGGGUGCGUAGGCGGCCUCUGAACGGAUGCGGGAAAGUUUGGGGGCUAAACCUAGCAGUGCCGUUGAAACUGGGCGGCUAGAGUGGGCGAGAGGUAUGCGGAAUGCGUGGUGUAGCGGUGAAAUGCAUAGAUAUCACGCAGAAACCCGAUUGCGAAGGCAGCCUGCC
Molecule: ribosomal RNA, 395 nt
Filed under: uncultured bacterium
Lineage: Bacteria
Description: partial 16S ribosomal RNA
Rfam family: Bacterial small subunit ribosomal RNA
Source: RNAcentral